AAAAGCAAUAAAUGAUGGCUGAAAUGUAGCAGGUGGAAGAAUAGGAGUGUUCUAGUUGUAUUGCCUCACAACUGGACUACUGUAAUGAUUCGAGUAAUGAGGAUAGUUGCUCAUAUGAGGCAUUGCAUACUGCUGAGUAUAAUUUCCAUAAGCCUGAGAUGGUGUUACUGAUCUAGUUGCAGCAUCACGUGGGGCAUAGUAACACCAAGUUAUGUCAUGGACAGGUUUCCUACAGUAAUCACAAUAGAAACUAUUUGGCCUAGUGGAAUUCCUAGCAUAGGUUCCACGUCUUCCACCUCGUCUACCAAAACCACGAUAUCCUCUGCCAUAAUUAAAGUUAUUCCGUUGUCUCAAUGACUGAGUAUAAUUCAUAGCAUGAGAUGCAGGAUUAUACAUAUGACCUUGUUGUGGUUGCAUUGAAAAUGAGAGAGGUGAUUGUGGUGGGGAAUGUGCAACCACAUUUGCUGACAGAGCAUCAAAAACAGUCCUAUGUUUAUUCUUAGCUAACCUAGAUUCAAAAGUUAGCAGAAAUUGUUAAAGUUCAUGGAUUGAAGGAUGAUUGUUUUGGCUGUCUAUUGAUGUGAUAACAGUAUUAUACUCUUCAUUUAAG
Molecule: long non-coding RNA, 610 nt
Filed under: Lupinus mutabilis
Lineage: Eukaryota; Viridiplantae; Streptophyta; Magnoliopsida; Fabales; Fabaceae
Description: partial ncRNA
Source: RNAcentral